GUUGAUGUCAUAGACCAGAAGCUCCUUCUUCCCGGUGAUGGAAUCACAGAAGCAAAAUCCAGCAGCGGUGGCAGGUGCAGCUGCGAGGUCAGCGGCCCCUGGCUUGCUGACUGGCGCCUGUGUGCCUGCCAGCUGUCAGAGGCGACCGUAGGGAGACGUAGGGAAGGCCAAGGAGGGAACAGCUGCUUCCCGCUUGGAAACUCACCCCCCGGGGGGCUGGGGUCCCCUGGCGAUGGACUGUUUCCUGGGCACGCUUGUCUCCUCUCUGAGUCUCCGUCUCCUCCUCUGAACAGCCCGCUUUCAGCUCUACAAGGCUCUUCAACUCUUUGGGUUUUUUUUCCCCAAAGCUCCUAUUUUCCACUUUAAGAGAAGGGAAAGAGUUCGAAUUUUACUCACAUCCAGAUCUGACUGGCAAAUGCUUAGCGAUCCCUCUUUCACCCUUCGAUCCUCUAUGGUGAACACGCUCGCGCAUAUUAAAAUGUAACUUUUGAGUUUCAGUGUUCUGCGCAAAUGCGGCAUUACCUUCCAGAUUAAGUCAUCUACCCCGGAUCUAACUUAGGGGGUAUAAAGAGCUUUCAUUUAAUUGCACGAUAGAUUUGCUUGCAAGAUGUCACAGGUAGGGAGACCCGUCUAGGAACAGCCUGGUGAAAUGGGGAGGGGGACGCAGGGGGACGGCGGCGACCACCCUCCGCGUCACAGCAGGUGUGGUCAGGACCUCCAUCCCUCCGGGUGGGCCCGUGGGCUGCAGGUCCGUGGCCUGCAAGGAGGGAAGAGCCUGGAGCCGCGCCGCCAUCCCCGCCAACAGGCAGCUCGCCCCCCGCACCGAGCCCGCCGUGUCCCGUCUCAGCCAUUUCAGAAGCAAACAGUGAGAUGGCUCGAGAUGGCAGAUCUGGUUUCCAACUCUACCUGCGCCCUCAGAAGGAAUCAUUUCCCUAGGAGUUCGUGCCUCUCGCAUUUCAAUUUUCCGCGGUUGAUAAAUCGCAUCCGUCCCUUUUAAUAGAUGAACUAAGCGGGGACGUGAGGCUGUCGGCUGCUUCAAGGGAAACGCAUAUGUGAAGUAACAGGGUGGCCUUUGAAGGGCGCUGACUGGUGUGUGGUGGCGAGUAUGCCCCUGUCACCAGGCAGGAGGAUUUGCUUAGAAAGACGGUCCAGGUGCUCAGGUGUGGAGCGAGGCUGUGUCAGCUUCAUGGGCAAGUGCCCCUUGCUGUCACCUUCUCUUACAAACCCUCGGCAGCGGCGGCACUGAUGCAAAGGUGUGUGCUUUGCAUCCCCAGGGAGUCAGAUAAAACAUCUCAUUCCAAUGGCCUAGGGUGACGUCCAAACACCCUACUGAUUUGUUGUUUUAAAUCGCCGUGGCGAAGAGGUAGGUGGCCGCGCGCUGUCUUUCAUGCACAGGGACGGAAAGCAGGCCGCCCGCCGGGUUUCUGAACGUGACGCCCCAACAUAUUCCUUUCAUCCCUGCUGGCGGUUCUUGGUUUAGAAGGAAGAAUGAAAUCUUGCAUGAACGACGAGCAGCCUCUCCCGUGUUUGUUAGCGGAGGCGGGAGUGAGGCCGAAGGAUAUCACUUUUAAGUGAAGUUUGUCGGGAGAGAAGGGGGGGCAGCCGGGACGCCGGCCACUGCUCCCACUCCUGCUCCUGCUCCAGCCGCAGGGCCGGGGCUCUGGGACCUGCCGCCUGCGUCCACACUCAGAGCACGUUUUGCCACCCUUGCUCCUGCCCUCGCUGAGUAUGAGCCAGAGAGGCCAGCUCUUCAAAGGGUCCUGCGUGGGUGCCGUGGGAAGCAACCCGGGGAAACAUCUUACAUAGAAGAUGUUGGAAUCUGCCAAAGUCGUCUUGGGUGAGGGGCCUUCCAGGCCAGCAAACAGAACCGAAGCUUUUAGGUAAAAUCUCCUCCUAGAGCCCCACAGUGAGGCCAUGGCCCCACCCUGAGAAGGGCGCUACCAGGAGGUCAGGGACAGGUGUGGUGUUUCCCCGCCAGGUGUCCCGGGCCCUGCAUCCGGGGCCACCCCGGUCCUUUGCUCAUCCGCUCACUCUGCAAACACGGUGGUUGGCCCUCCGCACGUGCGUGGUGCUGUCCCAGGCCCCGGGGACCCAGAGGAGGGAACCCAGAUGUGGCCUGGCCUCCAGUGCCGCAGGCAGGAGGGGAUGUACUCAUUCUGUGGGUGCAGAACCCAGGGCUGCCGGAGGGCAGGUGAGGUCCCAGGUCCCACCCCAGGGAAGAGCGCAGCUGGAAUUUGAGCCACGGUCUGACCCCAGAGCCUUUUUUUUUUCCGCUUUGCCUUAUUGCCUCCUGUUUGUAACGUCCAAAUACACACGAAAAUAUUUUGUAAAGCAUAGAGUGCAAUACUAGCUUAGUGGCUACUCAUCACGGACUUGCUGUCACCAAGCAGAAGGCUGAGGUGGGAGGAUGGCCCAUGCCCCUAGCCCCCAGUCACCUGGCAUGGGGUGUCCCUACCGGCCUGGAGGCUGAGCUGACUCCCGUCUCGCAGAGAGGUGCCUCCCUCUGCCCUUGCCUGGUCUUGGCUUCUUAAAGCAGCGUGCCUGAGGACUCGCUUGGGCUGGGGCGGGCUGCGGGGUGUGCGUGUGCAUGCGUGCACACACACGUGCGGGCUUGCUCCAGGUGUGGGUCUCAUAGUGUUUUUCUGCAGUGUUUGCUUCGCCUCUAAAUUCUCGGUCAUCCUUUACUCCCAGAAGAAGAAAUCCCCUCACUUUGUGCCUGCCGAGCAGAUGGUUACGAGUGUAGUUAAAACCCGCUGAGGCUUUCGUCACGUCCCCGAACGCCCAAGGCGGGGAGGUGCAGGGUGUGUGAAUGUGAAGUUAGAUGCUUUUAAGAAAGCAAGACUGCUAAUAAAAUAUUUUAUA
RNAcentral lists this long non-coding RNA (2862 nucleotides) under Canis lupus familiaris (dog). RNAcentral describes it as "lncRNA (ENSCAFG00000059214.1)". The record is from RNAcentral. Lineage: Eukaryota; Metazoa; Chordata; Mammalia; Carnivora; Canidae.